CCCCUUCCAGCGGGGAGCGUCCCCCUUGGGUGGCCUCCACGUUGGCCGCCAUCCUCAUCUUCACCAUCGUGGUCGACGUGCUGGGCAACCUGCUGGUCAUCCUCUCCGUCUACAGGAACAAGAAGCUGAGGAACGCCGAGUCAGAAUGGAACCUUGCAUAAUUUGCUGGCAUUUCCGUUGUGAAAAUCUUGGGCGCUGGCUGGAAAUCCAGCCAGGAGGAGGAGAAACAGAAGAGACUUAAAGGACAUGUAUUCUCAAAGAAGAUUGCUUACCCUUCUCUACAAAGAAAACAGAUUAUGGCCACAUGGAUGUGGUGGUGGUAGUUGGAAUCCUUUCAUGUCUUUGUUCUUUCUAAAAUUGUUGAAGAGACUUCACAAUGGAGAUCUGGACUUCUUUUAUAAGGAGAGAGCUCUGAGAGUAGGAAAGGCCUUAAAAAUGCCUUGACAAGAUUUGAUCUCUCCAGCCCAGCAGUCAGGACAUUAGGAAGAGCCCAUGUGCUCAAAGCAGAGGAGUCAGUCUCCCAAAGGAGCUUGGUCCCAGCAAGGAAGGUGUGUCUGAUACAAAGCGACUCCUUCAUAGUCACAGGCAUGACUUCAGUAGAUGCUCUCCUAGACACAGAAGCUGGUGAUACUGAUGAUGUCUUUGGAACUUCUUCUGGUUAUCUUGGGAAACAGUGGAAGACUGGAGAAACAUCUGGACAAUUUUACUUUUGGAAGACAUUCGACUAAUAGGCUAACUCAAGAUAUCAAUGAAAGAGAGUGAAUGAUGGAUCACAAUGGACAUUUAUAUUGCAUACCUGCUUGUCUUCAGGUAGCAUAAAUGCUGUUGGAGCUGCCGUGACCACACGAAGGAGGAAGAAGAGGGAGAGUAAGAGGCAAGGAGGGUGAAGAGGAGGUGCCUUCCUUGCAUGAGAGAUGGAGGCAGCAGCAGCAGCAGCAACGACCCAAGGCGGCAGCUCCAAGAGUCGAGGAGGAGGAGCCACACACUCUCUCUCCAAGGCAUUUUAAGGAGGCUUCCCACUUGCAGAUAAGGAAAAAUGAUGACCUCCUGGAAGAGGAGAGUAAAUGAGGGUUUACUUUUUUUCUGUUGAGGGAUUAAUAAAAAAUAUUAAACUGUGCUUAUGAAAAGAAGGCAUGAAAACACUUUCUUUUGUUUCGAGCUAAUUUUCAUGGGGUGUGUGUGUGUGUGUGUUCCUGUUUUGUGCUCCAGCACGAAAUGAAAGGAACUAAAGAACAAAUUGAAUGGGAGAAACGAAUUUCGCGCACAUGUCUAGUGCUUUACAAAUAAUAAUACAAAAGGCAGAUAUGUGGUGCUGUUAGAAAAUUAAGAAGACAGGCUGGCCAAGUUGACUUCAGGAUUCUAUGGGUUAUAACCUGUCCUCUACUCAAAACAUUUCAGUUCUGAGUCAGCCUUCCCAAAGCAUGGCAGAGAGGAAAUACAGAAGGCCAAGUAAACAUUUUGAUUCACUGCUUUACAGAUCUUUCAUUUCAGCCGUGAUGUGAAGCUAGAAGCAAUUCUCACACCAUAACCUGAGAAUGGGGUGUGACUGAAUGCUUGUGUUUUUCUGUGUACGUCUUCAUUCUUUGCCAGCGUGGGUACCCAAGGGAUUUAAAUCUCUUGUUGGUCAAGGUGGAGUUAUUUUGACAACAUGCCAUAGUUCACAGCAUCCCACUCUAAAUUUGUAAAACCUUGCUGUGUCAAGACUGCAGUUAAUACUUCUCAUGGGUCCUUUCUCAUAAAGUCUACAUUUUUUAUUUGCUAAGGUGACAGAUCAGUGGCACCAAAAAUCGUAUUUCAUAAAUUUUCCUUGGUUUAAAUUGUACACAUACCCUUCAGCGAAAUCCAUUGUAGCAUGUUGUGAAAGAGAACAACAGUCAUGUUGCAUUUGAUGAACAAGAGAUUCAUAAGCAGUAACUAAAUUUGCAAAUCACAUCUAGAACAGCUAGUGCAUGCCAUCAAUACCAAUGUUUAGACUACUUUCUCCAUCAAAUAAAAAAAUACAUUUUAUAUUCAUGGGUUUCUAUGUGCAUUCGUCCAAAACAGCGCUGUGUUGGUCUUUCCUUUAGCCAGUUUACUCAGCAGUGAAAAUAACCAUGUAGUCAAACAGUUAAGCUUUAUAUUGAAAAGAGAGCUUAUUUUAGCCAUUUUCAUUUUUCUAUUUGAGCAUUGGAUUUCCAUGUGUAUGACCUAGCUGUAAAUUGCAUUUUAGUUAUGGUUAGGAAGAGUAGCUGAGAGGUACAGCAGUAGGUUCCUUUUUUUAAAGUGUGUAUGUAUAGUUAGUAAAUCAAACAUUCAGAACAGACAUGUGAUAUUUAAUUAAGACAUGAACACUUUAAUUAUGGAUUUUUUUGGAACAAAUGCCCUCACAAUAUGCGCAUCCCUGCUGGUAUAUUUAUCUACAGACAGGAUUUUGAAGAGAUUCCCACUGAGUUCCUCAAUCUGUUCCUUUUCUUUGGUGUGUGUCUUUCCUGUCCUAUAUGACUGAAAUUAACAACAGCCUGCCAAACUAAUGCUGAGCCUUUUCAUUUUUUUUUUAAUUUGAUAGAUAGAUUUGACUCAUUUAAUAGUGUAAUAAUGGGGUUUCAAGUAAUAGUGGCACAGUUACCUAGAGUUUAGCUUUCCACUGUUGAAUAUUUCAGCAUUUCCUUUAUUCUAGGUUCGAAAUUAUGCUUCUUUGGAGGAAUGGAUUAACUCUGUUUCUUGAUUUCCUUAACACAUUAAAGAGGGCAAGGCCUAUGUGAUUAGGAGGGCAGUUAAUAUUGGUUGGGCUAAAGUUAGAACUGAGAAAUGCAGCCAGGUCAAGUAAUGGGGGGGGGGGGGCGGUUGGCAGAAUCUUGAUGAAUCAUUGGAAAUGCUGACCUCUAUAAUAUGUAGACCUUCUCAAUGUGAUUGAUGACAAUAAUUUGCUGGGGAAGGGGCAGUCCUGAUUGAAUGGUGAUUACUCACAUAUGUGUGAAGUGCAUUCGUUGAGUCUCAUUUCUGUCCCCAUAAGGCAGUGGUUCUCAAACUGUGUUCUGUGGAGCCCUCGGGGUCCAUCAAGCAUACUGGGGGGCUUUGCAGUUCCCUCCUUCUGCUCCCUCUUCCCUCUCCCCUCCAAGCUUUCUCUCCUCUUUCCUGCUACUCCCUUCUCCAUCUGCCUCCCUUGCUACCAAAAGCCUUUCCCUUGCCAACAAAAGUCUUUUUCGCUUGGCCCUCUUGCUGCCAAAAGCCCUUUUCCCUGAGCUUCCUUGCUUCCAAAACCUUAUUUCCCUGUCACCGCUCAGGUGGUGUUUUGAUUAUGCUGUUCCUGCCUGGCAGCAGGGAGAUGAACUGUAUGGCCCCUGGGGUUUUGGCUUAUUAUUAUUAUUAUUAUUAUUAUUAUUAUUAUUAUUAUUAUUAUUAUUAUUAAGGCUGGGUUGCCAUCUGUUGGGGGUGCUUUGAGUGUGCUUUUCCUGCAUGGCAGAAGGGGUUGGAUUGGAUGGCUCCUGGGGUCUUCCACUGAAAUACUGUUAAAAUUGUUCUUCAAAGGUUUGUCCAUCUAUUUAUUUCUUUACUCUGUGUCAAAAGCAUUGCAUAAAUAAAUAAGCAUAAAACUGAUAAAAUAAAGGGAAUACAAGCAGCUAAAUAAUUUUAGACCAAAAAUGGGCAAUAUAUAAUAUAAUAUAUAAACAUUUAUUGGGGCUUCACAAGAAACUUUUGCUUCAAAAGGGGUUCUGUGACUGAAAAAGUUUGAGAACCCCUGCCGCCCUCCUGGCUCAGGGAAAUGAUGUGCAAGGAGAUGGAGGGGGGUGAGGAAAAAAAAUCCCUCCUAGACCCCAUCUCCUGGUGCAUAAUUUCCUCGCACCUUCUGGUGCAAGGAGGAACGUUAUGGUGGCCAGGUGAAUUUUAUUGUAUUUUAGGGGUAAUUUUAGGGCUGGGGGGGUUGGUGCCUAAAAGAUGAAAGAUUGCAAUGGGGACCCUCUCCUGGGUAGUCCCAGGACUACCCAGUAGUGAGUGCCCACAGGCUCAAUAACUAGUAGACCUGCGCCUUUCAGGAAGGCCCAAAUCUAAUGAGGUAUCUAAUUAAUUCAGAACAAACCCUGGCUUGUUCUGAAUUAAUUCGGUUUUACCUGAAGCAUCAUUUGGAUGCCUCUGGUAAAACUGAGACAGAUCUUGGUUUUUAGGCCUGUCUGGAUGGGUCCCUAGUCAAUUGCUAUAGGGGAACUAUUAGCUUGAUUUUAAUGAUUAGAUUGCAUUCUGGUUACCAAGCAAAAUGUGACUUUUACAUAGUUUACAUAGUAAUAGAGAUGUUGCAUGGAAAAUCUGACAAGCUGCCUAGAUGGUCUGGAGAGGCUGGUAUUUUAUAAAGUCAAGGUAAAGGUUUCCCUUUGACAUUAAGUCUAGUUGAGUCCGACUCUGGAGGAUGGUGUUCAUCUCCAUUUCUAAGCCGAAGAGCUGACGUCAGUAGACACCUCCUAUAUCAUGUGACUGGCAUGACUGCAUGGAGCGCCGUUACCUUCCCACCAUAGCUGCCCCUAUUAAUCUACUCACAUUUGCAUGUUUUUGAACUUCUAGGUUGGCAGAAUCUGGGGUUUAUGACGGGAGCUCACCCUGUCCUGUGGAUUCGAACUGCUGACCUUCAGGUCAGCAAGUCCUGCAGCCUAGCGGUUUAACCCACUGAACCAUUGCUGGCCCUUGUUACUUUAUAGUUGGAGUAUAUUGUGUUUUAAUCCUGUAAUAUACUUAUUUUAAUCCUCCAGUGAAAAAUUGCAUAUGCUUGACCAAAGCAUAUGUGCUUAACCAAAGCAUUAUUGUGAUUUGCUAUCUGGUUGGCUUUGUCUACUGACAGCCCUGUGAAGGAGACUGCUCCUUUGUCAUGAAUAGCCCUAAUCAAGUCUAGCAACUCAAAGCUGGCACUAUUUUAAUUAAAUCAGUCCAUCUAUAAUGUGGUCUUCCUCUUUUCCUUUAGCUGUCCAUGCUCUCUAGCACUAUUGACUUUUCCAGUGAAUCAUGGUGGAAAGGUUUAUAAGCAACUGGUGCAUGGCCUUGUGCACUCAACAGUUCUUUGAGUUGAGAUGCCUUGUGAAUAUACAAGCCUAUAUCUAUACAUAGCACACAAAAAUUCACCUUAUACAGCUUCUGUUUUACAGUCACUGGACAGCUGAGGCUAUUAUUUUUGCACCAUUCAACUUGUCAGAUUGUAUUAGCUUACUGUCUAAAGAGAACUCCCUCUACAACCAAUUGCUUGUUAAUUCAUCUACAGCAAACUCUAAGGGAUUUCCCUUAAAAACCAUUUUAGGCAAAGUACUUGAUUUAUACUUCCUUUGGCACCACUUAACCAAAGUUCAGCAAACGUCAGAUGUUUGCACUGGCUCACAAGAGCAUUGUGAGAUUAUUCUUAAAACCUUUAACUUGGGAAAAAUCUGCUUAUGGUGAUUUGGAGCAGAGGUCACCAUGAUGUUGGAAAUUGCUUAUGAUAUGUUGUGGGACGCCCCUUGGAAUGGCUCCCUUCUCUCUUAGAACCUUCAUGAAAUUGUAAUGAGAGAUAGAAUAUCAUUCAGCCAAUUUUUUGUUUGAAAUUUGUAUUCUGAAAUACACAGAAAGCGGUUGGAAUCCAGCAUCCUUUCAAAGUAGUGUAUACGGUCUGUACAUGGAAAUAUGCUACCCAGCAAUUUGCAGGACCUAAGUUAAAUAGCAGCACAUAAGAGCUUUGGGCUUUGGGAGGGAGUUGUCAGGGGCAAUUUUUCCUGCUUCUCUCUCGAAGCUGCGGUGAGAUCAGCAGAUAAAUGAAACUGCAGAUAUGAAAUCUGUGGAUAUGGGUAUCUUACCAUAUCCUAGCUGAUUACACCCUGAUUAUUGGUUAUUGGUUGUCGGUUUUUCUUGAGUUUAAGCUUUUAUUGUUUUUAUAUGCUUUUAUGUAUUAAUUCAUUGUAAUUAAAUGUAUCUUAUGUUGUUGUAUUUUAUUGUUGCAUUACUGGGCUUGGUCCCCAUGUAAACUGCCCCAAGUCCCUUCAGGGAGAUGGGGCGGGAUAUAAGAAUAAGGUUAUUAUUACUAUUUAUGUCAGUGGAACUCUGCUUGCUCAACCUAACCAGAAGAUGACCUUAUUAUGUCCUAAAAAGGGAAACUACAACUAUAAGAGAAUUUAUACUGACAUAUGUCACAAACAGCAUUCUAGCCCACUGUGUCCCCUUCCACACAGGUGAAUAAAAUCCUACAUUUUCUACUUUGAACUGUAAUAUAUGGCAGUGUGGACUCAUACAACCAGUUCAAAGCAGGUAUGGUGGAAUUUUCUGCCUUGAUAUUCUGGAUUAUAUGGCUGUGUGGCAUUGGAAGCUUUUGUUUACAGACAACAGUUAGGCCGGGCAACUUUGAAAAGGGCUACCUGGCUAUGCCUAUGAACUAGAGGCAUAUGAAAUCAGCAUUUGGCAAGUGCUUGGGCUCCAUUAUAUGUCUUCAUUCAACUGUAAAAAUAAAUCUUAUGAUUUUUCUCAAUGUGAAUAUUAUUUUCCAGGAGCUAACUUGUAAAACGUUUACUUAAUAGUCUUCCAGAUUCUGCCAUCCUGUACCAUAGGAUAAUUGUCCUAGUGUUUGAUACUGUAGAAAAAAUUGUACUUAUCUUGUUAGUGCUGCAGUCCUGACACAUAACAUUUUCUAUAAUUUGCUUUAAUUAAGAUUUAAAAAAAACAUUGUGGUUUUGCAGAAAAUGAAAACUGCAAGGAUUUACCUUCCCAGUGAUAUUGCUCCACUGUGGAGUUGGGGGGAGGAGUUAGUGGUGGGUGGAACUGUUUGGUGGGAAGUGAUCAUUCUCACCAGAAAGUGGUUCUUUCCCAGCUUGGAUUUUUAUUUUUUUUUUUAAAAAAAGGUACAUGUGUGUGAAUGUUUGCAUAUCAUAACUUCAGUAUUAGUGCACCCUGCUUAACAAAAAUACAUAUAAUUAUGAAUGAUGGAAACAACAAAUAAACAAAAAAAGUAGAGUGGCCACAGCCGUGUGGUUGGAAAUAAUGCAAAGCAAAUAUGGAUUGCCUUCUAAUGUGUGGCUCAUUAUGCCAAUCACAUCAUGAUGUGUGUGAUAUGUGUGGUAGGCGGGAUCAAUGUAGGCUGGGAAAAUGCGGUGCCAAACAGAUUUUUUUUAUCAGUGUAGGCAAGCUUCCAAAUCCCGCCUACCUUUCCAAGUGCAUUUUUCGACUUAGAUGCAUCCCACAAGAUAAAAUGCCUUUCUAAGGUUCCAUUUAUUGAAAGUGCAACCCUACUGUUACAUAAAGUGAACAACUCUCCAAGUUGCUGGGGCCAUGGCAGCAAUUCUUCACCUUGCUUUCUGACCAACUCUACCUCACCCUGUUGUAUAUACCUCACCACUCAGUAUCAAGAAAUAGAACUUUGUGUGCUAUAUGAGUUGACCUAGAUCCAUGAAACUAAACUAUUGCCUCAGGUUUAAUGCAGGACACUGUCCAGUGCCGUGGUGUAUUCAUUGACCCCCAAGCAAGCAAGCAAGCAAGCUAGCACUGGGAGAUAUUCCCCAAAUGACUGUCUCAUUUUCAGAUGGGAGAUUUUAUUUCACACAUAGAGAGAGCCAUGCAGGCAACAACACCCAGAGAGCUAGGUCCAACCAGAUGGUUCAUUUCUGCCUUAAGGCCCUUUACUACCAACAGCGGAAAAGUUCUUGAUCGCUUCUUGUAUGUAUACCACAAUGCGAUUUUAUUGAUGCUUAAUGGUCUUAAGCUUGUAAGUUUCCUUGGAAGACAUGGAUUUUAAAUGUGGGUUAGGAAUAAUUGCAGUCCAUUAUAUAUUGAAUGACCAAGUGAUAGCACUGAUCCAUCUCAAGUGAAUUUUGUCAUUUCAUUCUCUGGCUGUAGCCAUAUCUGUAGAGUGGUUUUGAAGAAAUAAAAGUUUGGUUUCUAGAACAGUCUCAGCUCAAAGGAAAGGAAGAUAGAAUGUUUUUGGUUAUGAGCUGGUUGAUUCCAACAGCUAGUAAGUGACUAGUAAGUGACAAACCUUAUCUUUUUUAAAUCUCAAAAUGGGAGAAGGCCUCUGCUGUGUUCUUUUUGUUGAUGUGUAUGUGAAGUUGUUGAUCUGUGAAAAAAUUGUAAAAUAGAUAAGAGGACACACGUUUUCCAUACCUUCUCAUUGACUGCAUGGAACUGCAGCAUCGUAUUUUUCACUGUUUGCAUUUGACUUGGUUUUUUCAUCAUCAUAAUGAAACUCGAAACAGAGUUUCUUUCCUGAGCACUCUUAACAUUUUUGUCACCACCUCCAAAAUGACAUUUUCAUAUAUAUGUGUGUAUCAAUAAGCCAUCUUCACAGAUUUGGGCCAUAUUAAAGUAAGAUGAUUUACUGUUGAACCUGGACAUUAGCAGGAUAUUUUCUUAUAAGUUGCCCCAGGGGUAAGAAAAGCAUUAUAUAUAAAUACAGUAAAUAAGUGCAAAAAUAAUGGAUUCUGUGGGCAGGAUUUUUUUUUUGGAACUAUAUUGAGAUGAUGUGGCACAUUGGAAAAUAUGAUAAUUCUGGAAAAAGUGAAAGUCUGUAGAAAAAGAGAGAAACAGCCUUCCAAGUGGAUGGAUUUAGUCAAGGAAGCCACGUGAAUUUUGGAAUUUUGGAAUUUAGGGAUUUUAGAAGUAUCUCAUUCAUAAGGUUUUUAUAUGUUGGAGUGACUUUGAUAGCAAACUACAACAGUUUUACAAUGGACCUGACUGUUUUCAGUAUUAUUUUUUGUAACAUGGAUUGGACAUAGAAGAAUGAGCCAAGACAAACAGCAGAUCCUUUCUGGCUUCUCUCCUUCUGUGACCCUAAGAUCCACUCAAACAGUCAAGGAAUGGUCUCAAAUGGUGUGAAAUGGGACAGAUGAAGGAGGAUGGAUGAGACCUCAACAAAGCUGUCUUGCCCAAUUUUUUAAAACAAAGAAUAGAUUUAUCUGCAUUUGAGACUAUUUGCUAUUUAGUAGCAGCACUUCCCGCUUGCAUACAUGACUGUGCUUACUUCAGCCGUCAGGGCAUUUCUGUAUUUAUUCUGCCAUAAUUGAGCUGAAGUCCAUCAUCUUGUUUCCCCUUUGAGCGAUUGUGCAUGAAUGGUUACAGACUUGGAAAAACAAGAGAGAGCUUAAUGUGAUUUCUGCUAUAUCUUGAGGCUUGCCAUUUUCAAUGCACAAUUUUUCCCCUUAUCUGGGAGAUGGCAGAAUCGCAUUUGCAGCAUUAUGAAUCCUAUAUGGAAUCAUGUCAUCCAUUGUUUCAAACCAGAGACAGAGAGAAUUGAGCCUGGCCUCAAGCUGUGUAGCACCACCAGGAAGCUGCAAGGCUCAGACCAGGUUCCAGUUGCAUGAAGAGUUAGACUCUGAGUUAGACUCAGAAAGGAGAGCAAAGUAAUCUGACAAAAUGUUAGCUUUAAUCAGCAUCAAAUAUUUAAUCAGAUUAACCAGAGAUUAGUCCUAGGACCAAAUUCAAAUCAUCAAAAUACACCACGUCUUCACAAUGGAAGGAGAUAAUAAAUCUUUCCUCAAGACAGGGGUGGGAAAAGUAUGGCCCGUAGGCCACAUUUGUGACCUCUACUACCCACCAUGUAAAACUUUGGAUGCUUCUUACUCUAAUUCCUUAUAGGAAAACAACUUGUAAGCUCUUCGCAGCAAGCUCAAUAACUCAAUUUUGCUCUGCUGUACCUCUCAAAAUGGUGAUAAGAAAUGGUACAAUAUUAUUUCCAUCAUUCUGAGCAGGGUAGCAAAGAAAAAUGGCAGAAUUUGGGCUUAUGCUUACUGCCCCUGGCUAUUGGUUAUCGGUCCUGAGUAUGUUUUUAUUGUAUUUUAUAUGCCUUAUGUUUUAUAUGUUUACAUAUUUAAAUGUAUCUAUAUUAUUGUAUUUGUAUUGUGUAUUACUGGGCUUGGUCCCCAUGUGAGCCACCCUGAGACCCUUUGAGGUGAUGGGGUGGGACACAAGAAUAAAGUUAUUAUUAUUGUUGUUGUGUGGGGGGAAGUGCUACAAGUGGGCAGAUCUGAGGAUAACAUUUGUCCUCCUUUUACCUCCCAUUCACGUGGUUGCCUGCUCCUGCCUCUUGGCAAUUCAUGUGAAUAACCCUCUUGAUGAAAUUAUUGAAAUAGUCCACCAGCCCUUGUAUUCGGGUGCACUUUCUUAAUGUCUAAUCCAGAUAUCUUUGUGUACUGAACUGGGCUGUUGUGUCCAUGUAUCUCUAAUCCAUCUUCAUUCCCUUCAAGAAGGAAGAUUUAAGAUGCUUCCUUUUGCCAUCCUAAGAGCUAUCUCAUCAUAGAAAAAGAAAAGGUGACAUAAAGACUUGCAAAUGAACUAACUUGUUUUUUUAUCAUAAAUUUUCAUUGAUAUAUCAUCAAAAUACACCGUGUCUUCACAAUAGCUCAUCAGAUGCAGUACAAAGUGAUAACAAAGCCUCAAGAUAAACAGCACAUGAAUACAGUCGUGAGAAUAUAAUAGGAUCCAGAAAGAUGCAAAUCAUGUCCCUUUCACUAAAUUAGAAGGGGUGGAUGAGGUGAUACAAAUCUUUCAACUUUUCAAAGUGGUUAUUUGGAUGUGUAAAAGCAUUGCAUCUGCAUACCAAAAGUCAGUUUCUUGGGUUCAAAAUCGUCUGAGAAAGUUACUUUGUUAUUUGUGCCAUAGUGAGGAAUCCUGUGUUAAUAUAUGUAGAAAGAGCAGAAGUCACUUCAAAUCAGUUAUAUUUUCACGUAACUUGGAAAGUUAAUGGUCUGAGAAUUGAGUUAAUAUAUCAAGAUACUUCAGCAGUGACAGUCCUAGUACCUGAGAUAAUUGGUCUUCCUGGAUUGCUUUGCUUGUGUAUUUUGGUAGGAGAUAGAAGAUGCCUAGAUCGGGCUCCUGGAGUGUGCCCAUUUGAAUUCAAUUCUGCACAUCAGUAGAGUAUUUUCUGAAUAAUUUCUAUAAAUUUUUCCAAUAUUGAUUAAUGGGAUCUUCAGAGAACAUUCUGUAUAAUGUAGUAGCAUUUCCUGUGCAUAGUCUGAUUUGUUGAUUAGGGAUCUCAUCAUAUUUGCCACUGGAAUUUCCACAAAUCAUGGCAAAUCUGGUGGUGCCCGGCGAGGGGCAGGGGGAACCUCUCACCCCAUACCCUGCAUUACCUGACUUAACCCUAACCCCAUCCCAUGAGGGGAGAGUGUCCACCACCUGGCUUCCCCCCAUUGUUGCUAAUUCAACAUGGAAAACCUCAGCAGCAAAUGCCAGUUCCUCUCCUUUUGCUCCACAAAGCCUUAGCUCUACGUAGUGGGAUAGGAGCUAGUGAGCUCUGUGGGGUAAAUGGAGAAGAACCGGCGUAUGCCAUCGCUUUUGGUCAAUGUGAUGAGGUUGAAAGACCACAACUCUCUCUUUGUCAACUUGUCAUAUAAUGAAAUUAUAAUUAUUCCAGAUACUGAGGAUGAGACUGUCUGUUUGCCUGAGACUGUGUGGUGUCUCUUGUUGAUUAUCUCAGUAAAGAUAUUCUAUGUAGAAAUCCAAUUCCAUGUUUUGGUCUUAAGGAGGGAUCCACAUAAAGUUUUUUUUAUUAUUAUUGCUGGGAAACUUAUUCUUAUACAGUGACCGUUGCCAUGUUAUGGCGGCUGAGGUGAUACUUGCAAGCUGUUGUCACUCUCCCUGAAAUAUUAGUCGUAGACAAAAGAGGAAAUUCUCAAAGUCAUCCCCAAACUGAAUUAUGUGUGUAGGUUUGGAGACACAGACGGUUGGCUUAGUGUGUGGCUGAAAAAGUUUACAGUAUUACUGUCUAAACUGGUUUUUUUCAUGUCAGGAGUGACUUGAGAAACUGCAAGUCGCUUCUGAUGUGAGAGAAUUUGCCAUCUGCAAGGAUGUUGCUCAGGGGACGCCCAGAUGUUUGAUUUUUUACCAUCCUUGUGGGAGGUUUCUCUCAUGUCCCCACAUAGGAAGCUGGAGCUAACAGAGGGAGCUCAUCUGCACUCUUUCAAAAUUCGAACUGGCAACCUUCAGGUCAGCAACCCAACCUUCAAGUCAGCAGUCCUACCUGCACAAGGGCUUAACCCAUUGUGCCACCAGGAGCCCAUCCAAACUGGUGAUAUUUCUAAACUGGGCCAUUGGGGCCUGUAGUAAGAAAGUUUCAGAUUUUUCUCUCAUAGUUAUCUGAGAAAUCCCAUUUUUCUCAGAAGAUGGUUGCAAGGGCAAUCAUAACACUGAGAUGGUGAACAUCAGUCCCUCGUGUUUGCAGCAGUUCUAAAAGUUCAUUAUCUCUGAUCUGGUACCUUGCAUACCUGAUAAAGUUCAAGCCUGUUUGUGGAGACAUAGAAGACAUUAUAUAAAUUGAUAUUUAAAUUGAGAGUUGGUACUUCAGAUUAGAAAUACCCCUGUGACUAGCGAUUGUAUUCCUUCAUGUAUUAGAACUGCUUUCCUUUGGCUGGAUGGCAAAACCGCACACCUUUGCUGCUGUGUCUGUUCUUACUCCUUUUCCUCCUUGUAAAAUAUGGUUGAUUAUAAUACCAUAAUUAUGAUUACUUUUCUGAUUAUUUUGAAAAGAUUUUUUGAAAUGUUUUGGCUAGUG
This is an RNA transcript of Anolis carolinensis (green anole), 12460 nucleotides long. It is a transcript of the gene named melatonin receptor 1A, with no coding region annotated. The record is from RefSeq and is a predicted model, not a curated record. Lineage: Eukaryota; Metazoa; Chordata; Lepidosauria; Squamata; Anolidae. The transcript has 4 exons.